RNAcentral lists this ribosomal RNA (229 nucleotides) under uncultured bacterium. Its description in RNAcentral is "partial 16S ribosomal RNA". It matches the Rfam family "Bacterial small subunit ribosomal RNA", at positions 118 to 347 of the family's 1533-position model. The record is from RNAcentral.
UGGGUGAUCUGCCCUGCACUUCGGGAUAAGCCUGGGAAACUGGGUCUAACACCGGAUAUGACCUUGGGAUGCAUGUCCUGUGGUGGAAAGCUUUUGCGGUGUGGGAUGGGCCCGCGGCCUAUCAGCUUGUUGGUGGGGUUAAGCCUACCAAGGCGACGACGGGUAGCCGGCCUGAGAGGGUGACCGGCCACACUGGGACUGAGAUACGGCCCAGACUCCUACGGGAGCA